AGAUUGAAGAACAAAUCCAAGAGCUUGACAAGAUUGAAAAUGACAUUUCUUGGAAUGCAUUAGAGCCUACCCUAGAUUCAUGAGCUUUCGUGAGUUGAAGGGUUUAAUGCAAAUGGAGAUAUUUUGGAGAGAUGAAAUGGAUAUAGUUUGGAAAGAUGAAAUGGAUAUAAAUGGAGAAUGUUAAAAACAUACAUUUCAAUUAUGUGUUAAUUCAAGACUUAUGUAAUAUUUUUAAUUAUGUAGUGAUU
Gossypium raimondii (Peruvian cotton) is the source of this 248-nucleotide long non-coding RNA. RefSeq lists it as uncharacterized. NCBI's taxonomy places the organism in Eukaryota, Viridiplantae, Streptophyta, Magnoliopsida, Malvales, Malvaceae. The transcript has 3 exons. The record is from RefSeq and is a predicted model, not a curated record.